ACACGCUGGCGGCAGGCUUAACACAUGCAAGUCGAACGGACGUAGCAAUACGUUAGUGGCAGACGGGUGAGUAACGCGUGGGAAUAUGCCCUUUAGUUCGGAACAACUCAGGGAAACUUGAGCUAAUACCGGAUAAGCCCGAGAGGGGAAAGAUUUAUCGCUAAAGGAGUAGCCCGCGUCUGAUUAGCUAGUUGGUGAGGUAAUGGCUCACCAAGGCGACGAUCAGUAGCUGGUCUGAGAGGAUGAUCAGCCACACUGGGACUGAGACACGGCCCAGACUCCUACGGGAGGCAGCAGUGGGGAAUAUUGGACAAUGGGGGCAACCCUGAUCCAGCCAUGCCGCGUGAGUGAUGAAGGCCUUAGGGUUGUAAAACUCUUUUGUCCGGGAAGAUAAUGACUGUACCGGAAGAAUAAGCCCCGGCUAACUUCGUG
Molecule: ribosomal RNA, 432 nt
Filed under: uncultured bacterium
Lineage: Bacteria
Description: bacterial SSU rRNA
Rfam family: Bacterial small subunit ribosomal RNA
Source: RNAcentral